RNA transcript from Orcinus orca (killer whale), 15746 nucleotides. It is a transcript of the gene named very-long-chain 3-oxoacyl-CoA reductase-A-like, with no coding region annotated. The record is from RefSeq and is a predicted model, not a curated record. NCBI's taxonomy places the organism in Eukaryota, Metazoa, Chordata, Mammalia, Artiodactyla, Delphinidae. The transcript is spliced from 5 exons.
GGCGGAGUAGUCAGGCCAGGCUUGAAAUAGCUGCUCCCAAAGAAAGCCUCGUUGGCCCUAGGUUGGAUGACUUGUUAUCUGGGGUCGUGAUGGAGUCGGAUUGGGAUGUGCUGAGAGUGCGGGGAGGGUUACCGCCACGUGCCUGCUGCUGUGGGCGGCUUGGGGGGCGAGCUACACAGUCUAUGUUUACCUGCUGCCCAGGCACGCCGGGGCAAACCCUGGCUCCCGGCGCACAGAGCCUGGGCAGGUGAGGAAGGAGGGCUGCGAGCCAGGCAGGUAGGGGUGGGGACAGCAAGAACGAGGACAGAUGACAGGUGAGGGUCCCUAAUCAGGGCAGAGGCCAGGGACUCCUGGAAGAAAGACAGGUGAAGGCUGGAGCAACUAGGGCAAGGGAGGCAUGGAAUGCAUGAAAUUCUCGAACCAGGAGGGGUUGGGCUUCAGUGAAGGAGGGUCCCAGAAAAGGUGCAAAAAGGGAAGAGGGACAGUGGAGGGGAUGAUAGGGGGCUGGAUCUGGGGGUGCUUCCCUCCUGCCCUCUUUCUAGUGGUGACAGGAGCCACCAACGGCAUCAGCAAGGCUUAUGCACAUGAGCUCGCCGGGAGAGGUCUGAACAUCGUCCUCAUCAGUCGAGACCUGAGCAAGUUGGAGCACGAGGCAAAGGCGAUAGAGAGGCUUCAUGGCAAAAGCACACGAGUCAUCCAGGUGGAUUUCACCGGAGGCUUGGAGAUCUACGAGGCCAUUGCGGCAGGACUGAAGGACCUGGAGAUCGGAGUACUGAGUACGUCCCUGUGCCUGUUGGGAGGAGCGCUGCCCUCAACUGCCCCCGUGCUCACCCUAACCCGGAACUCUCUGUGGUCGCCCUCCCUUUUGCCCCUACCCCGUCUCCCUGGGACCGUUGGAGUGAAACAAAUAAUUUGUCCCCUCUCACUCAGUAAACAGUGUGGGCAAGCAAUACGCACCUGGCUUGAGGAAACUGCUCGACUGUGAGGACUUCGCCAAAAAUUCUUGGAUGUUAUAAACUGCAACAUGAUGUCUGUGGUCCAGAUGAGUCGGGGCUGGGAGGGACUGGGUCCAAAGUCAGCGAGCUCUGACCACUCUCGGUGGUCCCCAGCGUCCCCCAGAACUGGGCCUGGCAUAGAGGAAGUGCUAGAGGAAUACUCCCUGAGGGAAGGUAGGGGGAUAGGAGUGAACUUGAGGAGGGGCAGGAGUCUGGGUAGGUGAAAGCAGUGAAAAGGGAAAGACAGGGUCCUCUCCAUUCCUCCUGCAGAUGACUAGGAUCGUCCUGCCCCAAAUGGUCACCAGGGUUUCCUGCUGACCAUCUUCCUGCCCAGUUGGUUUUUUCUCAGUCGCUGGGGAUUAAAGCUUUUAUCUCUGUUGGUGAGCUGGAAUAGGGCACGGUUUCUUCGUCACAGAACUUGACUGAAGGCCUUGAAGAGGCGUGGCCACAUGUCCGUCGUUCCCCACCCCCACCCCCGCCCCCUCCAGAAUCCUAGGCCAGGGCUGUAGUUAGCAAAGACUUCCCACACAUCGAGACAGAUGGACAAGCAGACCAAUGGAACGUAGUUGGACCCCCGAACACCCAGAAAUUUACUAACAACUGCAGCAUCUCAAAUCUCUGGCAGAAAGAUGGAGUUUUUAAUAUGUGGCGCUGAGACUACAUAGACAUUUGGAGAAAAACAAGCAAACAGAUAUAUACAUACAUAGAUACGUACAUAUAUAGACUGUAGCGAUGAUGGCUGCACAACUUUGUGAAAUACUAAAACCCACUAAAUUGUACACAUUAAAAGGGUUAAUUUUAUGGUAUGUGAAUUAAAUCUCAAUUUAAAAAUCUCAAUAAAAAUAUUUUUAAAAUAGAGACUCCCUGUGUGUGUGUGUGUGUGUGUGUGUGUGUCUGUGUGUAUACAUAUAUGUAUAAAAUUGGAUCCAGUCCUCACACCAUGUACCGGCAUAAACUGCAGAUGAAUCAGAAAUCCCUAAAUCCCUGUGUAAAAAUAGAAACACAACAACUAGAAGAAUCCACGAAUGAAUUUCUUUCCAUCUUGGGAGUGGAAGAAUCUUUCUUAUUAAUACUGAAAAUUAAAAGCAGCAAAAAAAGCCAAAACCAAAACCAAACAAAAAACCACUAACAAAUAUUGAACUGUAGUUAAUGAUAUGCAGGCUGAAUUAUUUAGGAAAAGUGCACUGAUGUCAGCAACUUACUUUGAAAUGCAUUUAAAAGUUAGACAGAGUGAGUAGAAAUAUGGUUAGACAAGUAUGGUAAAAUGUUAGUAGAAUCUAAGCGGUAGACACAUGUACACCUCUUUCAACUUUCCUGUAUAUUUGAAGUGUUUCAUAAUAAAAUGCUGGGAGAGGGACUUCCCUGGUGGUCCAGCGGUAAAGAAUCCGCCUUCCGAUACAGGGGACGCUGGUUCGAUCCCUGGUCGGGGAACUAGGAUCCCACAUACCGUGGGGCAAUUGAGCCCGCGUGCUGCAAACUACUAGCCCUGGAGCCUGCGCCCAGCAACUAGAGAGAAGCCCGCACGCCACAACGAAGAGCCCCUCGUGCUGCAACGGAAAUAUCCCGCAUACCUCAGCGAAGAUCCUACAUGCCACAACUAGGACCCGACACAGGCAAAAAAUUAAAAAAUAAAAAUAAUAAAAUAAAAAUGUCUUUUAAAAAUGCUGGGGAAAAUCCAGGAGCAAUAAAAUUAAAUUUAUAAAUAAAACGUCUUAAGCAGAUUUAGAAAUUACUUAAGAAAAGAUGAUACGCUUCUUAUUAUCACAUUUCCGGAGAAGGACGGCUCGAGCCCUGGAGAAUAAACGGACUUUUUUGCGGAGAAACGCGGAUGCAGACCAUCGAAGAGACACCAUAAAGCGGCCCUAAUUUUGAGCUUUGGCGCGGGUGGUUGUGGGUAGCGCGCCCAAGAAGGAGGAUGAAUGAGGAGCGUCCCCGCGCGCCGAAGAGGCGAUGCUGGUCGCCGCGACCCUGGCAGGAGCUGCAGGCCCUGUGCUAGGAGCUGAACGUGGACGAGGGGAGCGCAGCCUAAGCCCUGGAAGACUUCACAACUGUCCAGGGCAACUACAGCCUAGAGGGAGAAGUAAGUUAUACACUGGUUGGCUUGUUCAUUAUAUCUUGCCUGCCUCAAAAGCAUUAUUCCCACGGUUGGAAAGGGUAUCAUGGAAGGAAAUUGUGUUUCACUUACCAGAAUACUACCUUCAGCUAAAUUAAGUUUAAUACAGUUUUUUAGUAAAAUGAAGAAGUGGAUGGACCUGUCUAGAAUUUUGUGAACGUAUGGAAAGGCUAGAAAGAAAUUUUGAGGGGUCUGCUGUAAUUUUCAAAAACGUUGAGCCAGUUUUUUUUUAUAUAUUUAUUUUAUUUAUUUAUUUAUUUAUUUAGGCUGCGUUGGGUCUUCGUUGCUGCGCGGGGGCCUUCUCUAGUUGCAGAGAGCAGGAGCUACUCUUCGUUGUGGUGCUCAGGCUUCUCAUUGCGGUGGCUUCUCUUGCUGCGGAGCACGGGCUCUAGGUGCGCGGGCUUCAGUGGUUGUGGCACUUGGGCUCAGUAGUUGUGGCUCGCGGGCUCUAGAGAGCAGGCUCAGUAGUUGUGGCACACAGGUUUAGUUGCUCCACGGCACGUGGGAUCUUCCCGGACCAGGGCUUGAACCCGUGUCCCCUGCAUUGGCAGGCAGAUUCUUAACCACUGUGCCACCAGGGAAGCCCUCUUUAACCCUCUUUAAUCUGCAUCCAUUCCUCAUCUUUUCUUUGUGCUGUGCGACAUUAACAUUUUUGAAGCAGAAAUAUUUUGAAGUUGAAAAACACAAUAAGUUUUAUGGAAGAGAGAUUGAUUAGAGGAAUAAGAUCUUAUGCAGUUGAGGCAGUGUCGAGAAGGUCCAGAAAGGGGAGUUAGGGGAUCAGUGGAAAAUACCAGUCAGCCUUCUGGAAGCAGUAGUGCAGGUGGACAAGUCAGAGCUUUCAGGAAAAUCUGGGAAGUUGUAUAUCCAGCUGCUAGAGUGGUAUCACGAAGGACAGCUGGUGAGGAAGUCUGUGGAAGGCAUCUGGUUGUGGGCCUGGGGUCACUGUUGGUCAGCAGGGCAGAAAGUUGAGAGGAGAUGAGCACAGUUUGGGGGAAACAAGGUCCCUGUGCUUUUUCAUCUCUCUUUCUCUACACUGAACGGGAGAGUAAGAGCAAGCUGGAACCCACUGGCACAUCUGUGUGGGUAGAACAAUGACCAUAUGUGGGUAGAACAAUGAGCAGGCUUCACUUCUUCCUUUAUAUUUUCAUGCAAUUUGCUCUUUCAGCCAACUCUAACCUAGUACCAUACAGGGAAGAGGGAGUCUAAGAAAGAUGGGUCCCCCUUAGCCCAGCUGACACAGUACAAAACCACCACAAAAGUGCGCCCUGUUUUCUCUAUUUCAAAAGAGUUUUUCUGAGAUUGGUACUCCUCCCUUAAUUGUCUGGAAGAUUUCACCAGUAAGACCAUCUGGGCCGGGGCUUCCCUGGUGGUACAGUGGCUCAGAAUCCGCCUGCCAGUGCAGGGGACAUGGGUUUGAGCCCUGGUCCAGGAAGAUCUCACAUGCCAUGGAACAACUAAGCCCGUGCGCCACAACUGCUGAGCCUGUGCUCUAGAGCCUGCGAGCCACAAUUACUGAGCUCGUGUGCCACAACUACUGAAGCCUGCGCGCCUAGAGCCCGUGCUCUGCAACAAGAAAAGCCACUGCAAUGAGAAGCCCGCGCACCACAACAAAGAAUAGCACCCCCGCCACAACUAGAGAAAGCCCGUGUGAAGCAGCGAAGACCCAAUGCACCCAAAAAUAAAUAAAUUAAUUUAAAAAAAAACCAUCUGGGCCUGGAUUUUUGUGGUUAAAGUUUUAAACUAUGCGUUAAAUUUCUUUGAUAGAUAUAGGACUAUUCAGAUUUUCUAUUUCUUCUUGGGUCAGUUGUGGUAUUUUUCAAAUAAUUUUUCCAGCUCAUCAAAAUGUUCAAAUGUAUUGAUAUGAACUGGUUCAUAAUAUCCUCUUAUUACCCUUUUCAUGCUUGUAGGAUCUAUAGUGAUGUCUCAUUUUGAGUCCUGAUAUUGGUAAUUUUUCUCUUUUGUUUUUCUUCAUUGGUCUUGAUUGGGAUUUAUUGAUUAUAUUGAGCUUUCAAAUAGACAGCUUUUGGCUUGUUGACUUUUAUAUUGUAUAUUUGUUUUCUAUUUUGUUGAUUUCUGCUCUUAUCUAUAUUAUUUUAUUUUCUACUCUGUUUUAAAUUUGUUUUUCUUUCUCUACCUUCUUAGAUCUUUGAUUUUUAAAUUUUACUUUUCUGAUAUAUACAUUAAAGCUAUACGUUUCCCUCUAAACAUAAUGCUUACAGUAUCCAUAAAUUUUGCUAUGUUACAUUUUUACUGUCAUUCAGUUAAAAAUGAGUCCUUAUUCCCAUUUUAAUUUCUUCUUUGACUCAUGGGUUAUUCAGAAAUAUGUUGCUUAAUUUCCAAACAGAGAUAUUCUAGUUAUCUAACUACUGUAGUGCUCUAAUUUAAUUCAAAAGUGAUUGGAGAGCCCAGAAUAUAGUCUAUUUUGUGAUGCCCUUCUUUAUUACUGAUAACUUUCCUUGCUUUGAAGUCUGCUGUGUCUGAAAUUAAUAUAGUAUAUAUUAUAAAAAUAAUGAUCUGUUGGCAAAAAAUUCCCUCAAUUUUGGUUUGUUGCGGGAAGUCCUUAUUUCUCUUCCUUUUUUUUUUUUUUUGUGGUACGCGGGCCUCUCACUGUUGUGGCCUCUCCCGUUGCGGAGCACAGGCUCCGGACACGCAGGCUCAGCGGCCAUGGCUCACGGGCCUAGCCUCUUCGCGGCAUGUGGGAUCUUCCCGGACAGGGUCACGAACCCAUGUCCCCUGCAUCGGCAGGUGGACUCAACCACUGCGCCACCAGGGAAGCCCCCUGCCUUGUAAUUUUUUCUUGAUAGCCAGACAUGAUGUGCUGGGUAAAAGGAACUAAAUAGACCUUAAGAAAUGUGGUGGUGAGGUGUAGGUCGGGGCGGCAGGGGAAGAAUUCUACAAUCCUAUGAUUGGUCUCAGUCUUUUGGUGAGUUUAUGCCUCUAGACUAUGAACUUCACAAGUGUUUUUAAUUUUUUUCUCCCUCUUAAGUGGGAGAGUAUGACUAGUGUGGGCUGGAGUUGGGUAUUCCCCUUCCCCAGAUGAGUUAGGCUCUGAUAAUACCCCAGCAGGUUAGGAUCUGGUUAAUUAGUUCUCCCUGGGGCAGGCCUUGUUAGGAAGGACAGAGAGCUCUGAUGAAUUUCAAAAUGGUCCUUUUUCCCCUCUGCCUAAAGCACAAGGGGAUUUUUGUCUAGUAUUUACUGUGGGAACCAGCUGGAGCUCCUGGAAGUAAAUCUCACAAAAUUGUGGGGGGCCCUCCCGUGACUGGGUACCCCUGGAGUUUUUUUUAAAUUUAUUUAUUUAUUUUUGCGGUACGCGGGCCUCUCUCACUGUUGUGGCCUCUCCCGUUGCGGAGCACAGGCUCCGGACGCGCAGGCUCAGCGGCCAUGGCUCACGGGCCCAGCCGCUCCGCGGCAUGUGGGAUAUUCCCGGACCGAAGAACGAACCCGCGUCCCCUGCAUCAGCAGGCGGACUCUCCACCACUGUGCCACCAGGGAAGUCCCUAUUUAUUUUAUUUAUUUUUAUUUUUGGCUGCGUUGGGUCUUCGUUACUGUGCUUGGGCUUUCUCUAGUUGCGGCGAGCGGGGGCUACUGUUUGUUGUGGUGCGCGGGCUUCUUACUGCGGUGGCUUCUCGUUGCAGAACACGGGCUCUAGGCAAUCAGGCUUCAGUAGUUGUGGCUCGCGGGCUCUAGAGCACAGGCUCAGUAGUUGUGGCACACGGGCUUAGUUGCUCCGCGGCAUGUGGGAUCUUCCUGGACCAGGGCUUGAACCCAUGUCUCCUGCACUGGCAGGCAGAUUCUUAACCACUGCGCCACCAGGGAAUCCCCCCCUCCCCCCGCCUUCCUGGUGUUUUUAACUCUCAGAGUUGUCCACACUGAGCCUCCAGAUUCAUCAAUUACAGCUCUGGUUUUCCUACCCUGGCACUGGUUCCCGCAGCAGUUUCUGCCCAUGAGUCUCUGCUCUGGUAAGUUUUUAUUCUCUGUAUUCACCUGUCUGGUCUCUCCAAUCUUGGGGGCAGUGGUUUGCCCUGUGUCCUCACCUCUCUUAAGGAUCCUAGAAGUGGUGAUUUUUCAGUCUGUUCAGCUUUUUCGUUGUUAAGAUGGAGUGGUGACUUCCAAGCUCCUUGCAUGUGAAGCUGGAAAAGAGAAGCUACCUAAAGGGCCACAUAUACUUGAAAAGAAUGUACGUUCUGCAGUUGCUGGAUGUAGUGUUCUAUAUGCGUCAGUUAGUUCAAGCUGAUUAAUUGCAUUGUUCAAAUCUAUAUUCUUUAUGACAGAGUUUGUGCUUGUUCUAUCAGUUACUGCAUGAAGCAUGUUAAAAUGUUUAGCUAUGAUUGUGGAUUUGUCUACGUCUCCUUUUAGUUCUGUUAACUUUUGCUUUAUGAUUUUGUAGAUAUUAGGUGCAUGCAAGUUUAGGAUUGUUACAUGUUCCUCAAAACCCAUUUAAAACUAUGAAAUGUCCCUCUUCAACUCUUGGGAUACUUCUAUCUAAAGUCUACUUUGUCUGAUAUUAAUAUGGCCACACCGGCUUGCUUUCUUUGGGUUAGUAUUAGCAUUGUAUCUAUUCUCCCUUUAUUUUACUCUAAAUCCAUCUGUGAUUUUAUAUUUAAAGUGUAUUUCUAAUAAAGAGUACUUAGUAGGAUCUCCUUUUCUCUCAAGUCUGACAAUAUUUUCCUUUAAUUGGAGUGUUUAUUUUCAUUUACAUUUAAUAUAUUUGGUGAUAUAGUUGUGUUUAAGAUUACUGUGUUAGUUAUCUGUUGCUGUGUAACAAAUCACCCCCAAAUUUACUGGCUUAAAACAACAGCAGUCAUUGAUUAUCUCUCAGUUUCUGUGGGUUAAGAAUUCAUGAGUGGCUCGUCUGUAUGAUAGUUCAAAAUUUUCUACAUCCUUGCCAACACUUGUUUUUUUUGUUUGUUUUUUAAAUUUAUUUUUUAAAUUUAUUUUUUAUUUAUUUAUUUUUGGCUAUGUUGGGUGUUCGUUGCUGCACGCGGGCUUUCUCUAGUUGCGGCGAGCGGGGGCUACUCUUCGUUGCAGUGCGCAGGCUUCUCAUUGCGGUGGCUUCUUUUGUUGUGGAGCACAGGCUCUAGGUGCGCGGGCUUCAGUAGUUGUGGCACGUGGGCUCAGUAGUUGUGGCUCGUGGGCUCUAGAGCGCAGGCUCAGUAGUUGUGGCGCACUGGCUGAGUUGCUCCACGGCACGUGGGAUGUUCGCGGACCAGGGCUCGAACCUGUGUCCCCUGCAUUGGCAGGCGGAUUCUUAACCACUGCGCCACCAGGGAAGCCCUGCCAACACUGGUUAUUAUCUGUCUUUUUUAUUGUUGCCAUCCUAAUGGGUUGAAGUGGUAUCUCACUGUGGUUUUGAUUUGCAUUUUCCUAAUGACUAAUGAUCUUGAGUAUCUUUUCACGGGCUUAUUCGACACUUGUAAUUGGACACUUGAGAAAUGUCUACUCAGAUCCUUUGCUCAUUUUAAAAUUGGGUUGUCUUUUUAUUAUUGUUUUGAAAGAGUUAAUUACGUAUUCUAGAUACAAGCCCUUUAUCAGAUCUAUGAUUUGCAAAUAUUUUCUUUCAUUCUGUGAGUUGUCUUUUCACUUUCAAUUUUAAAGAAGUCUAACUUAUCUAUUUUUCCUUUUGUUCACCUUGCUUUUAAAAGGUUGUUACCACUGGUAUAGACUUCUAGGUUGACAGUUUGUUUUCUUUCAGUGCUUUAAACAUGUCAUUCUCUUGUUUUUUGGCAUCUGUUAUGGGUUGAAUUGAGUCGCCCAAAAGAAGAUGUGUGGACAUCCUCAUCCCUAGAAUGCAACCUUAUUUGGAAAUAGUGUGUUGCCAAUGUAAUUAGUUAAGAUGGGGUCAUAAUGGGAAAAGGUGGACCUCUAAUCCAGUAUGACUGGUGUCCUUAUAAGAAGAUGGCCAUGCAAAGACAGAGACACAGGGAGAGUGCCGUGUGAAAAGGAAGGCAGAGAUGGGAGUUAUGCAGCUGCAAGCCACGGAGUGUCCAGGGCUGUCAGAAGCUAGAAAGGAAGGAUUGCCCUAGAGAGCAGGACGCUGCUGACACUUUGAUUUUGGACUUUUAGCCUUCAGAGUGAUGAGACAAUACAUUCUUGUUUUAAACCACCUAAUUUGUGGUACUUACGGCAACCCUAGAAAACUAAUACAGCUACAUAGUUUCUAUUGAAUAGUCAGACACACUCAGAAAUUGAUGUCUUUUUUAAAAAUUUAUGGAAGCAUAGUUGAUUAACAAUGUUGUGUUAGUUACGCUGUACAGCAAAGUGAUUCCGUUUUAUAUGUAUAUAUUCUUUUCCGUAUGAUUUUCCAUUAUGGUUUAUCACAGGAUAUUGAAUAUAGUUCCCUGUGCUUUACAGUAGGACCUUGUAGUUUAUUCAUUCUAUAUAUAAUAGUUUGCAUCUGCUAAUCCCCAACUCCCAAUCCAUCCCUUCCCCCACCCCUUGGCAACCACAGUUCUGUUCCGUAUGUCUGUGAGUCUGUUUCUGUUCUGUAGAUAAGUUCAUUUGUGUCAUAUUUUAGAUUCCACAUAUAAGUGAUAUAUGGCAUUUGUCUUUCUCUUUCUGACUUACUUUACUUAGUAUGAUAAUCUCUAGGUCCAUCCAUGUGCUGCAAAUGGCAAAAUUUCACUCUUUUUAUGGCUGAGUAGUAUUCCAUUUUAUAUGUAUCUAAUACCACAUCUUUAUCCGUUCAUCCAUUGAUGGCCACUUAGGUUGCUUCCGUCUCUUGGCAAUUGUGACUAAUUGUAACUAAUCUACUGUGAACAUUGGGGUGCAUGUAUCUUUUCAAAUUAGUGCUUUUAGUGUUUUUUUUGGAUAUAUACCCAGGAGUGGAAUUGCUGGGUCACAUGGUAGUUCUGUUUUUAGUUUUUGGAGGCAGCUGCAUACUGUUUUCCACAGUGGCUGCAUCAGUUUACAUUCCCACCAGCAGUGUAUGAGGGUUUCCUUCAAAAAAGCUUCUUUAGAAAUUGCUUCUGCGUUCAUGUUUUCUCUUGUCUCCUUAUGCUACUCCAGUUAUACCCGUAACAGAUCAUUUAACAGUGACCCACAUAUCUCACGCGCCUCCUUUGUUUUUGACUUCCGUUCUUUUGUCUUGGAGCUUCAUUAUGAAUAAUUCCUGUUGACCUGUCUUCAAGUUUACUGUUCUUUCCUUCUGUUAGCAGUAGUCUGCUGUUAAAUCCAUCAAAUGAGUUCUUUUAAAAUUAACAUUAUAGAAGUAUAAUACACGUAUGAUAAAAAUGCUCACACUACCCUUGUUUGGUUCACUGAGUUCUGCAAAAUAUCUACACUUCCAUAAUCGCCAUACAAAUCAAGGUACAGGGUGUUUUUUUUAUCCUCCUUCCAGCCAAUCUUCCUUAACUCCUCCAGGCAAUCAGAACUCUGAUUUAGGUUAUGAUUGAUUAGCUUUGCCUAUGCUAGAGUUUAUAUAAAUGAAAUAACAUCACGUGUACACUUUUAGGGCUGGCGUCUUUCUUUCAGCAUAAUGGUUUUGGAUUCACCCAUGAUGUUGCAUGGAUAUGUCAUGUUCCUUUUUAUUGGGUGGUAUUCCUUUGUAUGACUAUACUGCAGUUUGUUUCUGUUCAAAUGAACAUUUGAGUUAUUUCCAAUUUUUUUAUUUUAUGAACAAAGCUUCUAUGAACAUUUGUGUAAAGUCUUUUUAAAGAUAUAUAUUUAUAUUUCUUUUGGACAAAUACCCAGGAGAAUUCUGAAUCGUAGGGUAAAUGUAUAUUCAACUUGACAAGAAACUCCCAGUCUAUUUUACAAAGUGCGGGUACUAUUUUAGACUCCCUUUGGUACUGUGUGAGAGUUCUGUGAGUUCAAUCCUAUGAGAGCUGCAGCUGCUCCAUACUUUUCCAGUGUUCGGUAUUGUCAGUCUUUUAAAAUUUUAGCCUUUCUAGAAGAUGUGUAGUGAUAUCUCUUUGUGGCAAUAAUUUGAAUUUCCCUGGCAAUUGUAGAUGUUGAAUACCUUUAUAUGUUUGUUGGCCAUUAAUACAUCUUAUUUUGAGAAGUGUUCAAGUCUUUUGCCCAUUUUAAAGUUGGAUUUUAAAAAAUCUUUUCAUUAUUAAGUUGUAAAGAUACUUUAUAUAUUCUGAAUUCAACUAAUUUGGUAGAAAACAUAAUUACACAUAUUUUCUCCCAGGUUCUGGCUUACAGUUUCAUUUUCUUAACUUUGUCUUCUGAAGGACAGAAGUUUUCAAUUUUGACGUAGUCCCCUUUAUCUUUUUUUUUUCCUUUUAUGGUUAGUGCUUUUAGUGUCUUGUCUAAAAACCUUGGUCUCCGCCAAGUUCGUGAAGAUUUUCUCCAUUUUUUUCUAGAAGUUUUAUAGUUUUAGCAUUUAUAUUUAGGUCUGUGAUUCAUUUGAGGUAAUUUUUGUGUGCAUUGUGAGUUAGCUUCGGUUUUGUUCAUGCAAAUGUCCAGUUGUUUCAGCACCAUUUAUUGAAAAGACUAUCUUUUCCUCUCCUUGAAUUACACUACAUAUUUAUAGAAAAUCAACUUUGGGUCUAUAUUUGCAACUCUAUUCUGUUUGUAUGAUAUAUUUCCUUACACCAGUACCACACUGUCUUGAUUACUGUAGCUUUAAAACACAUUUUAUUGAAGUAUAGUUGAUUUACAAUGUUAUAAAUAUAUAUUCUUGGGCUUACCUGGUGGCGCAGUGGAGAAUCCGCCUGCCAAUGCAGGGGACCCAGGUUCGAGCCCUGGUCCGGGAAGAUCACACAUACCGCGAAGCAACUAAGCCCGUGUGCCACAACUACUGAGCCCUCGUGCUGCAACUGCUGAAGCCCGCGCGCCUAGAGCCCGUGCUCCACAGCAAGAGAAGCCACCGCAAUGAGAAGCCCGUGCACCGCAACUAAGAGUAGCCCCCGCGCGCCGCAACUAGAGAAAGCCCACGCGCAGCAAUGAAGACCCAACGCAACCAAAAAUAAAUAAAUAAAAAUUUUUUAAAAAGUCAUGCCAAAAACUGAAGAAAACGUUUGCAACACAUAUAUUUAACGAAAACCUUGUCUCCAGGAUAUAUGAAGAACUCAAUAAUUAAUUAAAAGACAAAACACCACAACAAAAAACAGGCAAAAGCCUUGGACACUUAACAAAAGAAGAUAUAUGAAUAGCCAGUAGGCUCGUGAAAAGGUGUUCAAUAUUUUUAAACAUUAUGAAAAUUCAAAUUAAAACCACAAUGAAAUGCCACUACACACCUGCUAGAAUAGUUAAAAUUUUAAAAGACUCUCAAUAUCAAGUGUUGGCAAGUACAAAGAAUAACACCUUCCCGGUACUACACGGGAAACAGCCCAAACAUUCAUCCAUAAUAGAAUGGAUAGAUAAAUUCUGACAAGUUACUACCAUGAAAUCCCACAGAGUAAGGAGAAUGAGCAAAGUACUACCUUCACAACAAAGCGGUUGAAUCUCUCAAAUGCGAUGCUGAGUGAAAGAAGAUGGAAACCAGAGUCGCUGGAAUGUAUGAUUCCAACGAUACAAAGCUCAUAACCUGGCAAAAGUAAUCGAUGGUGUGGGAACCAGGAUAGUGGUUACCUUUGGGGGGCAGAAGUGGUUGGAAGAGGGUUUAAGGGGGAAAGGUCUAUGCCUUGACCCAUUUUGGUUACAUAGAUUCACUCUGGAAAUUCACUGACCUUUGCACUAAUGAUCAGUGUGCCUUUCUGUAAAAUUCAAAGAGGAUAGUUUUAUAAAUCAGAAAGUGGUAGCCUUUCUUCCUCCAAUCCUAUUCCCCAGAGGUAGCCAUGGAUACAAAUUGGGUAGUGUCUUUAUCCAGUUAUAAAUACAUUUACUGAGCUGUAAAUAUAUUUACUCGCAUUUUUCACGUAACAGUGUAUCUUGGAGGAUGUGGCAUAUCAGAACUGUGAAGAGCUGCCUCCAAUCUUUUAUCAGUUACGUUGUAUUCCAUUGCGGGGAGACCCAGUAUAAACAGUCAGCUGUUGACUGUUUUCCAUAUUAGCCACUUUGAGCAGUGUAGCAGUGUCCAUUUUGCACCUGUGUGAGUAUUGCAAAGGGAUGCAUUCUUAGAAGUGGGGUUUCUGAGUUCAAGGAUAUGAGCAUUUUAAAUUCCCCUUUGAAAACCGCUCCAUGUAUAACAAAGUGCUUUAGGCGAGACUAUAAGAAAAUGUGGGAGAGCUAGUGAUACCGUUUUCCGCCUCAGGGCCUCUGGGAUAUUGUGAACUGCAAGAUGAUAUCUGUGUUCCAGGUGAAGGUUGAAUCUCAGAGCAGAUGCUGCCUCCUCCAGGAAGCCCUCCCUGAUUCCCAGACAGGGUCAGAGAAUUCUUGGGCUUCCCCAGCUGCCUGAGCUCCCCACAUCUAGCCCUGACCACUCUGGAUGAUAGAUGUGUCUCCCCAUACACCCCCCCCCCGACUUGUCAGUUCCAUAAGAGCAGGGCCAAAGCUGUUGAAGUCACCACAGUGUCCCCAGCACCACCCUGCACAAGGUUGGGCACAGAGGAUGAACUCGGAUGGAUGGAUGGAUGGAAUUUAUAGGACUAGAGAGAGUGGAGACUCCGAGCGGACGGGACUCAGCUCCCAGGGGCUCAGAGAGGGGGGUAGAGACUUGAGGAUUGGGAGGGGGGCUUCCAGAAGGGGACAGGGUCUCAAGGAGAGAGAUAGAGACUCAGAGAAGGGUGGCAUCUCAGGGAUAGGCAUGGGAACUCAGAGAGGUGACUGGGGCUUAGAGAGAGGAGUUAAAGCUGGCGAGGACCACGGAUGCUCCGAUAGGGGGUGCAAGUUGCAGAAGGCCUGGGAGCUGAGGCGCCAGGCAGGGUGCGGGCUCGGUAAGUUCCCUCCUUUGUCCUCCUCCUUUUGCAGACAGCGAGACCCAGGCUUGUCUCCUCAAGCUUGCCACCUGCUCAGAUCUGCAGGGCUGGGGAGGGGCCCAGGGGCUUUGCUGGGUCAGCACUGGACGCCGUUGAUCUCUCCCCUACACCUACACUGUUCAUCAGAGAGGCAUUGGGCUGAAAAGGAGGGUCCCCACCCUCUCUGGGCAGGGAUGGAGGGGAGGGGGCGGGAAGCCCCAGGGCAGUGUGGAUCCUGACCCCUGGUGCCUCUCCUUGCCCAGAAUUUCCCGCCCAGGUGACUUUUUGGUCCUGGCUGCACUUUCACGUUUAGAUGGGGUUGAAUUAUCCUGAUUCCAGUUGACUCAAGCCCAGUUCGAGGAGAGGGCAUGGCCGCCUGGAGGCUCCCUGCCUCCCUUCCUCUCAUCUGGACCGUGGCCAUGGAUAGUCGCCUCCCCAUCUGGCUUCAUCUUUCUCCCCAGUGAUGGGGCCGCUCAGCCGCUUCCUGGUUGUGUGACCAGGGUGACCGUCAGAGCCUUGGGGACCUCAUCAGUGCACCAGGGAAAAUAACACCAUCCACCUCACGAGGGUUGCCGGGGAUAGGACCAGGCAGUGAGGCACCGGGUACAGUGAGUUAGGAGCGCGCUUGUCCUGGCACACAGCGGGGCUGGCAGACAGUGGCCAAGAGCUCUUGGAGUCUAUCUGAUUGGGGUUCAGAUUCCAGCCACUGCCUCUAACAUACUGUCCUAACCUUCUGAGCCUGCUUCCUGCCUGACAGAAACAGUCCCUUCUCCCAGGGCCAGGGGGAUGGCGCCGUGAGAUGUUCUGCAUCUCAGACACACUCAGGGAACCCCUUGCACAGAACAGGUACCCAGUAAACAGUUGCCGCCCUGCCCCAAUCCCACAGCCAGAAAUCACCUCCGUCUGAAUCCAAACAGUGCGUGUUUCACAAGCGCUCUCUCUGGGUUAGGAUCUGAGCCAAACGCCUCACAAACAGCCUCCUCGCUGAGCGCUCCCAGCCCGCUCGCUUGGCAGCGGGGCUGUUGUCAGAGCCUGGGGUGAGCAGGAGGGGUCCCGCCCCUGGCACUCGUGGGAUGGUGACUUUAGCUGCACUCCUGCCCCCAUCUGGGCCUCUGUCUCCAAAUCUGCAGGUUUGUUGAACGAAUCCUCGGGAGCAUCAACUGUCAGGAGUCUCUCUCCCAUUUUACAAACAUGGAAACUGAGGGAGUUCCCUGGUGGCCUAGUGGUUAGGACUCCAGGCUUUCACUGCCGUGGCCUUGGUUCAGUCCCUGGUUGGGGAACUGAGAUCCCGCAAGCCGUGCAGUGAGGCCAAAAAAAAAAAAAAAAGAAAAAAAAGUGGAAACUGAGGCUCAGGGUAAGGUCAGAGCUUCUCAGGGGACCAAGAAAAUGUUUGUAAUCUGGAAAAAACGUGGAGCACAACGUUCACAACCAAAAAGUAAAAAACGCCUAAAUGUCCGUCAGCUGAUACACGGGUAAGUAAAAUGUGGUGCGUCCAGACAGUGGAAUGUUAUCUGACGAUAAAAAGAAAUGAUGUACUGACACGUGCUACAACACGAUGAACCUUGAAAAUAUCAUGCAGAGUGAAGGAAGACUGACCCGAAAUAUCACUUAUUUAUUCACAAUAGGCAAGAUACAGAAACAACCCAAAUGUCCAGCAGCAGAUGAACGGAUAAAGAAAGUGUUGUAUAGCCCAUACGGCAGAAUAUUUUGCAGCCUUUACAAAGAGGGAAAUCCUCCCGUUUGUGACAAUAUGAUUGAACCUGGAAGCCAUUACGUGAAGUGAAAUAAGCCUGUCACAAAAGGACAGAUUCUGCCUGAUGCCACUCACGUGAGGUAUUCAAAAUACUCAGACUCUGG